UUCACAACGGCUCUUUCAGAAACAUAUUCCUGUAACUGCUGAGAGAAAGCUGCUCCUGGGAUUUUCUUGCGUGUGGGGUGACCGGCCAGCCGGCUCUGCCAUUGGCCCGUCGUCUUCCCCGUCCAAGUAUGGAGAGCAGAGGUGGAGUGAGGGGAAGCGUUGUGACGACAAUGUCUCCAGCGUGUCAUCGAUGGCAUGUGACAGAGAUGAGAUGAUUAUGGCUUAAUCUAUGAAUUGAUAUUCUAUUGAAUGGUGUUCUAGUCUGCAAAAUAAAAU
Molecule: long non-coding RNA, 276 nt
Organism: Gasterosteus aculeatus aculeatus (three-spined stickleback)
Lineage: Eukaryota; Metazoa; Chordata; Actinopteri; Perciformes; Gasterosteidae
Source: Ensembl